RNAcentral lists this ribosomal RNA (391 nucleotides) under Anelosimus rupununi. Its description in RNAcentral is "partial 16S ribosomal RNA". Lineage: Eukaryota; Metazoa; Arthropoda; Arachnida; Araneae; Theridiidae. The record is from RNAcentral.
UAUAACCUGCUCAAUGAAUAUUAAAUAGCCGCAAAUUUCAUGUGCUAAGGUAGCAUAAUCAUUUGUUUUUUAAUUAAAAACUAGAAUGAAAGGUUAAACAUUUAAAUUUUUUUAUUUAUAUUAUUAUAUAAAAUUAUAUUAAAUAUAAAAAUAUAUUUAUAAAAUAAAAAGACGACAAGACCCUAUUGAACUUUACUUAUGUUUAACUGGGGCAGUUAUAUAAAUAAAAUCUUAUUUAUUUUUAAUAAAUGAUCCAAUAAAAUUGAUUUAAUAAACAAGUUACCAUAGGGAUAACAGCGUAAUAAAUAUUAAAAGUUCUUAUUUAAAUAUUUGAUUGCGACCUCGAUGUUGAAUUAUAUUUUCUUAUUUUAGUGCAAUAACAUAUAAAGUA